GUAACAGUAACAUACAAUGAAAACGAUCAGAGUUCAAUAUAACCAGAACAUAAAUAAUUAUCACAGUUUUUCAUCUCUAACUUUACAUUCAUUACAAUGACAAAUAUAUGAUGAAUAUGUAACUAUAUGAUUGGCUUUAGUGUCAUUUUGAAAAAUCCAAACUUACAGCAUAAACUUCUUGUAUAAAACAAAUUUGAGAGGCUGCUAUAAAAGUGACAAAAUCAAGUUAAAGAAGGCCAUUUCGUUGAACCUUUUUGGUGUUUUGCUCAAAAUUAGAAAAUACAAAUAUUCCACAUUAUUAAAAGGGCAACACAUAUUUGGGCCUGAACUUUACAUUUAAAAGACAACUUGGUCUGAGGGAUGUUUAACCUUAGUCAGUAAAAUAGCACUAUGGUUACCUGAAAAAGCAUAAAGAGGAAUGUUCCAUUGUGGAUUCAAGAAUCAAAUCAAAACAUUUCAACUGUUUUAAUUGAUCUAGUUCCUAUUUUCUCCGAUUUGAUAAAAUAAUCCUUUAGGUUAAAAUUGCUAUCUUUCAAUGAACAUGGCUUUCAUAACUACUUAUUGAACACAAAGAAAUCCCAUAUUCAUUUUGUAAUAGAACUAUGUCAAUGUUUGUUAUUGAAUAUAUUGUGUUGUGCUUAAUUUACUUGUCAUUUUAAUUUCACCAUAUAUGAAGUCUAAUGUCUAUCAUUACACAAAUGCAUAUAUACAAAACAAGAUUCCAAUGUGAAUAUUUAAAGACAAAAACAUUGACAAUAGAUCUCAACCAUUUUUACAUCUGGCUGAAAAUUCAAAAAUCAAACCUAUACUAACAAAUGAUAACAAUAUACUCUUAAAUUCUUGAUGAGCUGUGAAUUUUGAUCAUGUGAAAAUAAAAACAGAAAAAAACACUUCAGAAUGGAAUGUUCACAGAAUAAAAAGUUUCAACACUACUCCAAUUAGAUUAUAAAAAAAAUACACUACACUCAAACUUUACUCUCUUUUACACAGAAUAUAGAUCCUAAAUUAGAACAAAAUUAAAUAUUGAUAUUGCUUCAGUCACUGGUGAAUUGUGUAUGAGGUCAUCUUAGUAUUUUUCAUCAUAUCAGACCUUCUUUCAUUCAGCCAGUAUCCUGUGUUAAAAGACUUAAUUUCAAAUUCUAAAUUCUAUUUCUAUAAGACUGGUUGAAUAAAGGCAUCAUAUUUUUUCCUUUGCUCAUUGAACUAUACAAGAAAAUUUGGCUAAGCAAUACACACACCCAAGUUUCCUGUAACUCUAUUUUAAAAUCCUAUUAUAUUUAUUAUACUCAUCAAUAAGCUUAUUAUCUAUAUUAUCACAUAUUUCCAUUCCUGUAAACUCAGAUUGCAAAAUGUAUCAGUUAAUACACUUCCUAGCUAUAUUAUGCCAUUUAUAAAAAAAAGUAUCCACAACUAACAUUCAACUCCAAGCAAUCACCAUGUUCCCAUGUAUUCAUUUACACCAAUACACUAGAUCACCAUAAUUAUUAGUACUGUAACAAGUUUUAAAUCAAAGCACUUAUUACUAAUAAAACUCAGUAAUGAAUAAUUAUCAUCUAGAUACAUUUGUACAUCUACAUUAUAAAUACUGGUACAUACAAUCUAGAUACAUUUGAACAUCUACAUUAUAAAUACUGGUACAUACAAUCUAUUUUAUAUUGAGAAACAUCCUUGAUACAUAACAGCAAGUGUGAGAAUGUCCCCAAGAUAUUUAUGAGGUAUGUCUAGAAAACUCUGUGGGUCACUAAGAUGAGUCAUUCUGGACUCACAAUUCAAUCAUGACAGAAACUAUCAAAAUAAUGUAAUAUAAUUUCGUUAAACAGGGCUUUACUAAAAGGUUGAAUAUAAACCUUUAGAUUUGAAUUCCAUGGUUAAAUCCAACAAUUAUAUGUUCACAAUCUCACCCUUUAUUUCAUGGUAUACACAUUUUUUUCAACAAGAAAAACUUUUGAACCAUUCACAAAUUCACACCCUUAACAGCCUAAAUCUGGAUUCAAUUUACAAACCUCACCCCUCCAUAGCAAUGUCCAUUUUUGUUAUGAAAAAUCAUAGGAAUUAAACAAUGGGAUAUGAACAAUGAUUGUAGAUGUAAAAGACCUUCUGAAAUGAUCACUGAAUUCAAUCCAGUUAUUCAUUGGAUAGAACUAGUGGAAACAGAAAGCCAAAGAAUGAAGACAACAAACAAUAUCUACUGUUCAAUAAGUUGGAAUAUAAUAAAUGAACUUCAAUAUAUGGGAUAUUUUUUUUUAAAUAAUUCCAGUGCAAGUAUUUCCUUCAUUUGUCAUUUAGCCUGAUAAUAGUACAAUAAAUUGGUCACACACAUAUAUAUCAAACAUGUAGAAUUCCUUACUUUUCAGUACAUCUGAAAGUGAAAGGAAUAUGAAUCUUAAAAAUAACCACCAUUUAUA
This 2405-nucleotide long non-coding RNA is filed under the name Mytilus galloprovincialis (Mediterranean mussel). Lineage: Eukaryota; Metazoa; Mollusca; Bivalvia; Mytilida; Mytilidae. The record is from RNAcentral.